Molecule: ribosomal RNA, 208 nt
Filed under: Lachnospiraceae bacterium
Lineage: Bacteria; Bacillati; Bacillota; Clostridia; Lachnospirales; Lachnospiraceae
Description: partial 23S ribosomal RNA
Rfam family: Bacterial large subunit ribosomal RNA
Source: RNAcentral
AUCGGUUAGGCUGCCAAGCCUACGGCCGAGUAGCCAAGUCCGGAAGGGAUAAACGCUGAAGGCAUCUAAGCGUGAAGCCCCCCUCAAGAUGAGAUAUCCCAUUCGAAAGAAGUAAGACCCCUUGAAGACGACAAGGUAGAUAGGGCAGGGGUGGAAGUACAGUAAUGUACGGAGCUGACUGCUACUAAUCGGUCGAGGGCUUGACCAA